This 394-nucleotide ribosomal RNA is filed under the name uncultured Lactobacillus sp. RNAcentral's name for it is "bacterial SSU rRNA". It matches the Rfam family "Bacterial small subunit ribosomal RNA", at positions 68 to 446 of the family's 1533-position model. The record is from RNAcentral. Lineage: Bacteria; Bacillati; Bacillota; Bacilli; Lactobacillales; Lactobacillaceae.
AACAGAUUUACUUCGGUAAUGACGUUAGGAAAGCGAGCGGCGGAUGGGUGAGUAACACGUGGGGAACCUGCCCCAUAGUCUGGGAUACCACUUGGAAACAGGUGCUAAUACCGGAUAAGAAAGCAGAUCGCAUGAUCAGCUUUUAAAAGGCGGCGUAAGCUGUCGCUAUGGGAUGGCCCCGCGGUGCAUUAGCUAGUUGGUAAAGUAAAGGCUUACCAAGGCGAUGAUGCAUAGCCGAGUUGAGAGACUGAUCGGCCACAUUGGGACUGAGACACGGCCCAAACUCCUACGGGAGGCAGCAGUAGGGAAUCUUCCACAAUGGACGCAAGUCUGAUGGAGCAACGCCGCGUGAGUGAAGAAGGUUUUCGGAUCGUAAAGCUCUGUUGUUGGUGAA